AACAAAUGUACUAUGUUCUGAUAUAAUCGUACCUAUUGUAAAUAUUCAAAGAAAAAUCAAGAACAAUCAAAUCACCUAAUCGACAUAUAAUACUCAAUGGCGUCUACGGCGGAACUUACGAGAAUAAAAUGAACGACAGCGCCAAUAUAAGGAGACAAUUGCUCGCCAACAACCCUCAAAAAUGAAUAGAGAUUUUUUGAACAAUUUAACAUAUUUAAGAGAAGAGCGAGCUUCUUAUGAAAGUGCAUUUGGUAUUUAAAAAAAAUUUAACUAAUUGAAUGAGAUGAUGUUUCUUAAAGAAUUACCUUUUUGGUAGGUAUCUGUGGCACUUGAAGAUGAUAUUGCUCCUCGCAAUAUCGUCGUAACAAUUUAAUGCCCUCGCUACGAUUAUGGCCAUAACGUGUUUCCCAUGCAUCUAGUAGGCGAUUGUAAUAUCGAGGAGUAUCCGUAUAUUUUAAAUAUUUAUAUGAUUCCCUAGUUGGAAAUAUACGC
Long non-coding RNA from Stomoxys calcitrans (stable fly), 492 nucleotides. RefSeq lists it as uncharacterized. The record is from RefSeq and is a predicted model, not a curated record. The transcript is spliced from 3 exons. Lineage: Eukaryota; Metazoa; Arthropoda; Insecta; Diptera; Muscidae.